GCCGCGUUGGCCUAAUGGUAAGGCGUCUCUUUGCGCAGGAGAAGAUUGUAGGUUCAAUCCCCAUACGCGGUA
This 72-nucleotide transfer RNA is filed under the name Sphaerobolus stellatus SS14. Its description in RNAcentral is "tRNA-Arg (GCG) (tRNA-Arg-GCG-2-1)". It matches the Rfam family "tRNA". From Rfam's summary of the family: Transfer RNA (tRNA) molecules are approximately 80 nucleotides in length. Their secondary structure includes four short double-helical elements and three loops (D, anti-codon, and T loops). Lineage: Eukaryota; Fungi; Basidiomycota; Agaricomycetes; Geastrales; Sphaerobolaceae. The record is from RNAcentral.